UACAGAGGUCCCAAGCGUUGUUCGGAUUCACUGGGCGUAAAGGGUGCGUAGGUGGUCGGGUAAGUCUGAUGUGAAAUCUCUGGGCUCAACCCAGAAAUGGCAUUGGAUACUAUUCGGCUAGAGGAGUGGAGGGGGGGACUGGAAUACUUGGUGCAGCAGUGAAAUGCGUAGAUAUCAAGUGGAACACCAGUGGCGAAGGCGAGUCCCUGGACACUUCCUGACACUGAGGCACGAAAGCUAGGGGAGCAAACAGG
RNAcentral lists this ribosomal RNA (254 nucleotides) under uncultured bacterium. RNAcentral's name for it is "partial 16S ribosomal RNA". It matches the Rfam family "Bacterial small subunit ribosomal RNA", at positions 524 to 776 of the family's 1533-position model. The record is from RNAcentral.